Molecule: ribosomal RNA, 731 nt
Filed under: uncultured bacterium
Lineage: Bacteria
Description: bacterial SSU rRNA
Rfam family: Bacterial small subunit ribosomal RNA
Source: RNAcentral
AGCGGCGGACGGGUGAGUAACACGUGGGUAACCUGCCCAAGAGACCGGGAUAACACCUGGAAACGGAUGCUAAUACCGGAUAACAACACUAGACGCAUGUCUAGAGUUUGAAAGAUGGUUCUGCUAUCACUCUUGGAUGGACCUGCGGUGCAUUAGCUAGUUGGUAAGGUAACGGCUUACCAAGGCAAUGAUGCAUAGCCGAGUUGAGAGACUGAUCGGCCACAUUGGGACUGAGACACGGCCCAAACUCCUACGGGAGGCAGCAGUAGGGAAUCUUCCACAAUGGACGAAAGUCUGAUGGAGCAACGCCGCGUGAGUGAAGAAGGGUUUCGGCUCGUAAAGCUCUGUUGGUAGUGAAGAAAGAUAGAGGUAGUAACUGGCCUUUAUUUGACGGUAAUUACUUAGAAAGUCACGGCUAACUACGUGCCAGCAGCCGCGGUAAUACGUAGGUGGCAAGCGUUGUCCGGAUUUAUUGGGCGUAAAGCGAGUGCAGGCGGUUCAAUAAGUCUGAUGUGAAAGCCUUCGGCUCAACCGGAGAAUUGCAUCAGAAACUGUUGAACUUGAGUGCAGAAGAGGAGAGUGGAACUCCAUGUGUAGCGGUGGAAUGCGUAGAUAUAUGGAAGAACACCAGUGGCGACGCGGCUCUCUGGUCUGCAACUGACGCUGAGGCUCGAAAGCAUGGGUAGCGAACAGGAUUAGAUACCCUGGUAGUCCAUGCCGUAAACGAUGAG